Long non-coding RNA from Rhipicephalus microplus (southern cattle tick), 288 nucleotides. The record is from RefSeq and is a predicted model, not a curated record. Lineage: Eukaryota; Metazoa; Arthropoda; Arachnida; Ixodida; Ixodidae.
UGUGAGAGGCGUCCCCGUGUCGGAGUGCCGACAUGUGUGUGACUUCAGUUCGCAGCGCCCUCGCAGCAGCGGGGGAACACAUGCUUUGGCGGUGCCGCUCGUUACGUCACAGAGCAGAAAUGGAGCUCGGCCCUCAGGAGUUCGGAAUAUCAGCGUCAACUUUGGGCUGUCCAGAGAGCCUGCGAUGCGGCGGUUAGGCUAACUGGGUCCCCACGUGGGAGUGGCACGCAGUGUCGCCCUAGGAGGUGGUACUUCUCCGGGUCUUUGAAUAAAUUUGUCAAUAUGGUU